GGGCCGGUAGCUCAGCCUGGUAGAGCAUCUGACUUUUAAUCAGGUGGUCGCGAGUUCGAAUAUUCCAUGCCCUUGAGGCUUGGAAUUUGGGAGUCUCGUCCGGCCCA
This 107-nucleotide transfer RNA is filed under the name Candidatus Woesearchaeota archaeon. Its description in RNAcentral is "tRNA-Lys". It matches the Rfam family "tRNA". Rfam says of the family: Transfer RNA (tRNA) molecules are approximately 80 nucleotides in length. Their secondary structure includes four short double-helical elements and three loops (D, anti-codon, and T loops). Lineage: Archaea; Nanobdellati; Candidatus Woesearchaeota. The record is from RNAcentral.